CAUAGGUUAAUGAGGCGAACCGGGGGAACUGAAACAUCUAAGUACCCCGAGGAAAAGAAAUCAACCGAGAUUCCCCCAGUAGCGGCGAGCGAACGGGGAGCAGCCCAGAGCCUGAAUCAGUGUGUGUGUUAGUGGAAGCGUCUGGAAAGGCGCGCGAUACAGGGUGACAGCCCCGUACACAAAAAUGCACAUGCUGUGAGCUCGAUGAGUAGGGCGGGACACGUGGUAUCCUGUCUGAAUAUGGGGGGACCAUCCUCCAAGGCUAAAUACUCCUGACUGACCGAUAGUGAACCAGUACCGUGAGGGAAAGGCGAAAAGAACCCCGGCGAGGGGAGUGAAAAAGAACCUGAAACCGUGUACGUACAAGCAGUGGGAGCACAGAGCAAUCUGUGUGACUGCGUACCUUUUGUAUAAUGGGUCAGCGACUUAUAUUCUGUAGCAAGGUUAACCGAAUAGGGGAGCCGAAGGGAAACCGAGUCUUAACUGGGCGUUAAGUUGCAGGGUAUAGACCCGAAACCCGGUGAUCUAGCCAUGGGCAGGUUGAAGGUUGGGUAACACUAACUGGAGGACCGAACCGACUAAUGUUGAAAAAUUAGCGGAUGACUUGUGGCUGGGGGUGAAAGGCCAAUCAAACCGGGAGAUAGCUGGUUCUCCCCGAAAGCUAUUUAGGUAGCGCCUCGUGAAUUCAUCUCCGGGGGUAGAGCACUGUUUCGGCAAGGGGGUCAUCCCGACUUACCAACCCGAUGCAAACUGCGAAUACCGGAGAAUGUUAUCACGGGAGACACACGGCGGGUGCUAACGUCCGUCGUGAAGAGGGAAACAACCCAGACCGCCAGCUAAGGUCCCAAAGUCAUGGUUAAGUGGGAAACGAUGUGGGAAGGCCCAGACAGCCAGGAUGUUGGCUUAGAAGCAGCCAUCAUUUAAAGAAAGCGUAAUAGCUCACUGGUCGAGUCGGCCUGCGCGGAAGAUGUAACGGGGCUAAACCAUGCAC
Molecule: ribosomal RNA, 991 nt
Filed under: Escherichia coli
Lineage: Bacteria; Pseudomonadati; Pseudomonadota; Gammaproteobacteria; Enterobacterales; Enterobacteriaceae
Description: partial 23S ribosomal RNA
Rfam family: Bacterial large subunit ribosomal RNA
Source: RNAcentral